GACGAACGCUGGCGGCGUGCCUAAUACAUGCAAGUAGAACGCACAGUUUAUACCGUAGCUUGCUACACCAUAGACUGUGAGUUGCGAACGGGUGAGUAACGCGUAGGUCACCUGCCUGGUAGCGGGGGAUAACUAUUGGAAACGAUAGCUAAUACCGCAUAAUAUUAAUUAUUGCAUGAUAAUUAAUUGAAAGGUGCAAUUGCACCACUACCAGAUGGACCUGCGUUGUAUUAGCUAGUAGGUGAGGUAACGGCUCACCUAGGCGACGAUACAUAGCCGACCUGAGAGGGUGAUCGGCCACACUGGGACUGAGGCACGGCCCAGACUCCUACGGGAGGCAGCAGUAGGGAAUCUUCGGCAAUGGACGAAAGUCUGACCGAGCAACGCCGCGUGAGUGAAGAAGGUUUUCGGAUCGUAAAGCUCUGUUGUAAGAGAAGAACGGGUGUGAGAGUGGAAAGUUCACACUGUGACGGUAUCUAACCAGAAAGGGACGGCUAACUACGUG
RNAcentral lists this ribosomal RNA (505 nucleotides) under uncultured bacterium. RNAcentral describes it as "partial 16S ribosomal RNA". It matches the Rfam family "Bacterial small subunit ribosomal RNA", at positions 28 to 507 of the family's 1533-position model. The record is from RNAcentral.